CCUACGGGGGGCACCAGUGGGGAAUAUUGGACAAUGGGCGCAAGCCUGAUCCAGCCAUGCCGCGUGAGUGAUGACGGCCUUAGGGUUGUAAAGCUCUUUUCUCCGGGACGAUAAUGACGGUACCGGAGGAAUAAGACCCGGCUAACUUCGUGCCAGCAGCCGCGGUAAUACGAAGGGGGCUAGCGUUGCUCGGAAUCACUGGGCGUAAAGGGCGCGUAGGCGGCGUUUUAAGUCGGGGGUGAAAGCCUGUGGCUCAACCACAGAAUGGCCUUCGAUACUGGGACGCUUGAGUCUGGUAGAGGUUGGUGGAACUGCGAGUGUAGAGGUGAAAUUCGUAGAUAUUCGCAAGAACACCGGUGGCGAAGGCGGCCAACUGGACCAGUACUGACGCUGAGGCGCGAAAGCGUGGGGAGCAAACAGGAUUAGAUACCCCCGUAGUC
RNAcentral lists this ribosomal RNA (440 nucleotides) under uncultured bacterium. RNAcentral describes it as "bacterial SSU rRNA". It matches the Rfam family "Bacterial small subunit ribosomal RNA", at positions 338 to 795 of the family's 1533-position model. The record is from RNAcentral.